This 906-nucleotide ribosomal RNA is filed under the name Alteromonadales bacterium HOT2C9. Its description in RNAcentral is "bacterial SSU rRNA". It matches the Rfam family "Bacterial small subunit ribosomal RNA", at positions 69 to 969 of the family's 1533-position model. Lineage: Bacteria; Pseudomonadati; Pseudomonadota; Gammaproteobacteria; Alteromonadales. The record is from RNAcentral.
GUAACAUUUCUAGCUUGCUAGAAGAUGACGAGUGGCGGACGGGUGAGUAAUGCUUGGGAACUUGCCUUUGCGAGGGGGAUAACAGUUGGAAACGACUGCUAAUACCGCAUAAUGUCUUCGGACCAAACGGGGCUUCGGCUCCGGCGCAAAGAGAGGCCCAAGUGAGAUUAGCUAGUUGGUAAGGUAACGGCUUACCAAGGCGACGAUCUCUAGCUGUUCUGAGAGGAAGAUCAGCCACACUGGGACUGAGACACGGCCCAGACUCCUACGGGAGGCAGCAGUGGGGAAUAUUGCACAAUGGGGGAAACCCUGAUGCAGCCAUGCCGCGUGUGUGAAGAAGGCCUUCGGGUUGUAAAGCACUUUCAGUUGUGAGGAAAAGUUAGUAGUUAAUACCUGCUAGCCGUGACGUUAACAACAGAAGAAGCACCGGCUAACUCCGUGCCAGCAGCCGCGGUAAUACGGAGGGUGCGAGCGUUAAUCGGAAUUACUGGGCGUAAAGCGCACGCAGGCGGUUUGUUAAGCUAGAUGUGAAAGCCCCGGGCUCAACCUGGGAUGGUCAUUUAGAACUGGCAGACUAGAGUCUUGGAGAGGGGAGUGGAAUUCCAGGUGUAGCGGUGAAAUGCGUAGAUAUCUGGAGGAACAUCAGUGGCGAAGGCGACUCCCUGGCCAAAGACUGACGCUCAUGUGCGAAAGUGUGGGUAGCGAACAGGAUUAGAUACCCUGGUAGUCCACACCGUAAACGCUGUCUACUAGCUGUGUGUGCCUUUAAGGCGUGCGUAGCGAAGCUAACGCGCUAAGUAGACCGCCUGGGGGAGUACGGCCGCAAGGUUAAAACUCAAAUGAAUUGACGGGGGCCNCGCACAAGCGGUGGAGCAUGUGGUUUAAAUUCGAUGCAACGCGAAGAAC